CAUUUCCUAUUAGUUUCACUGUUGGGAAUAAUUCAUUGCCAUUACUAAACAAUAUCUUUUAAGAUGAAUAACAGGAUUACAAGCUGAGACUUGAAGGGGUCAUUUAGGCAAUUUGUGUAUUUUAUAUAUCUUCGUAAAAUGUUAAUGUAGUGCUUGUAGUGUAACUCUUCAUUGAUGUUACUUUGGUGUAUAUAUAUAUAUCACUAUUUAAACAACCUAUUUACCAGAUAUGCACUUAAUAAAUGUUCUCACUUCUAAAAAGGCAUAUAAAUUUCGUUAAACAAAUUAGGGCUAUCUAUUUUUAUAUUUGCAUUCAGUUUGGGAUUUAUUUGCAAGCUUUCUGUUUUGCAUUUGCAAAAUAUAUGAUGUAAUGUCGCUAGUCUGCUGUACUAACAACAUUUCUUGUAAUGUCAUGCAAUGUUAAUAAGUAAACCAUGUGUUAACAGUGAUUUUUUUUGACACUUCAUAUCAGUAACCAUUAUAAACCCUCUAGUUCUAAAUUAUUUUAAUGUGAAUGCUUAAUACUGUCUGUCUUUUUUCCUCUGUGUGUGCAAUAUUAUUUGUACAUAAUGUUAAUGUAAUCACUUAUUACGUCAACCCUAAUCUAGAGCAAUAGAUAUUAAUAAAUAAACAAUAGCUUAUUUUAUUGUGACUGGACAAUUGUCGUGUUCAGACAAAUAAGUAGGCUAAGGUAAAAUUUCAAGAAUAAAAGCACUAAAAAACAAUCCAAAAAGCCAAAAUUGAACAAAAUUUGUAAAGUCAAAAACAAACAAUAAAAAUUACAUAAUAAACUGUAAUGACUGUAAAGAAGCACAAAACGACAGUUGGAUUGUAUACAGAUUGUAGUUAAGGAGCAACAUGUGGAAAGCCAGGAGGGUCAGAAAGGGGAAGUCUGAGAAAAGCAGUGUAAUAUACAGUAGUGAACAAUUAAUGCAUAGACCUACUCUAUAGUACAUCCAACUACAACCAGUAUAAUCUAAAUAAAAAAUUUAAUAUUAUUUCACUGAAAAUCAGCGAAGACUGUCAGUUCAGUGUACGUGCAGGGAUUAAAUUGAGGAGCAGAGCUCUGGUAACUUUGAAUUACUUGACUGAGGAGCAAAGCUGAGGUCUACGACUAUAAGAAAUGUAAAUCAUCGUAUACAAAUGAAAAUAACAAUAAUCAUGUUUUGCGCAGCAGUUUGCCCUUUUAUGCAGUACUGACGGUGCUGAAACUCUUUA
Ictalurus punctatus (channel catfish) is the source of this 1218-nucleotide long non-coding RNA. NCBI's taxonomy places the organism in Eukaryota, Metazoa, Chordata, Actinopteri, Siluriformes, Ictaluridae. The record is from Ensembl.